CGGGCAUGCGCAGGGGGAGCGCGGUUGCCUGGGAGACCCUGUUACCUGGGCGCCUGAGGACCAGCAAGUUGGGCUCUGCCACCUCUGUGAUGCCACUCGGCGGGGUCCGGGCACCCAGCGCUGAGGGCCACCCAGGCAGGACUUGCCUCUUCAGCCUGGGCCCUGAAGUUUGAUAAUGAAGAUAUCGCCAAAGGUUAGAAACAAAAUCACCUAGAGGAAGUGCUGGUAGUAUGGCGUGUGGAAGUGCACAAAUCUCUAGAGCAGACAGCUUUGUUAUAGGGACUAUCCAGAUUAUGCUUGGCAUCUUUAAUGUUUUAAUGUGGUAUUUCCUGUUGGUUUUAUAUAUGGGACAAAUUAAAGGAGUCUUUGGGAAAU
Heterocephalus glaber (naked mole-rat) is the source of this 375-nucleotide non-coding RNA. NCBI's taxonomy places the organism in Eukaryota, Metazoa, Chordata, Mammalia, Rodentia, Bathyergidae. The record is from RefSeq and is a predicted model, not a curated record.